CAUUCCAAUAUUAUUUACAAUGCCUAUUAUGUAUAUCGACCAAAAUACGAUAAAAAAACAUCUAGCACAACCAAAAUGACUUUCCAAUUAGAAAUAACAAAAAUAUACUAUUUUAUCUAACUAUUUUACAUAAGAUCUUAAGUUAAAAUUAUAGUAAGAUUAAAAUGAACUAAGAAUAAAUAAACAUUUUCUAAAUUCAACUUGCAAUUGCAAUAAAAUAUAAAGAUU
This 228-nucleotide long non-coding RNA is filed under the name Lathyrus oleraceus (garden pea). Its description in RNAcentral is "Pisum sativum (pea) long non-coding RNA (PSAT_LNC000875)". Lineage: Eukaryota; Viridiplantae; Streptophyta; Magnoliopsida; Fabales; Fabaceae. The record is from RNAcentral.